UACAGAGGGUGCGAGCGUUAAUCGGAAUUACUGGGCGUAAAGCGUGCGUAGACGGUUAUGUAAGUCGGGUGUGAAAGCCCCGGGCUCAACCUGGGAAUUGCAUUCGAGACUGCAUAGCUAGGGUGCGGAAGAGGGAAGCGGAAUUUCCGGUGUAGCGGUGAAAUGCGUAGAUAUCAGGAGGAACACCGGUGGCGAAGGCGGCUCUCUGGUCCACAACUGACGCUGAGGUGCGAAAGCUAGGGGAGCAAACGGG
This 253-nucleotide ribosomal RNA is filed under the name uncultured bacterium. RNAcentral describes it as "partial 16S ribosomal RNA". It matches the Rfam family "Bacterial small subunit ribosomal RNA", at positions 524 to 776 of the family's 1533-position model. The record is from RNAcentral.